This 376-nucleotide ribosomal RNA is filed under the name uncultured bacterium. RNAcentral's name for it is "bacterial SSU rRNA". It matches the Rfam family "Bacterial small subunit ribosomal RNA", at positions 524 to 898 of the family's 1533-position model. The record is from RNAcentral.
UACGUAGGGGGCAAGCGUUGUCCGGAAUUAUUGGGCGUAAAGAGCGCGUAGGCGGUCCGAUAAGUCGGCUGUGAAAGUCCAGGGCUCAACCCUGGAAAGCCGGCCGAUACUGUCGGACUAGAGUCCGGAAGAGGCAAGUGGAAUUCCCGGUGUAGCGGUGAAAUGCGCAGAUAUCGGGAGGAACACCAAUUGCGAAGGCAGCUUGCUGGGACGGUACUGACGCUGAGGCGCGAAAGCGUGGGGAGCAAACAGGAUUAGAUACCCUGGUAGUCCACGCCGUAAACGAUGGGCACUAGGUGUGGGAGGUGUCGACUCCUCCCGUGCCGCAGCUAACGCAUUAAGUGCCCCGCCUGGGGAGUACGGCCGCAAGGCUAAA